CUUUUACUCGGAGUUUUGUGGAACUUAAGUGUUUUUUUACAAUUCGAAGAUGGGUUUGAGAGACACCUGGCAGGGGAGUAUAACGCCUACAAGUUAUAUAAAAACCUAUGGCGGCCUAAUCAGUCGUUUAAGCAUUUUAACCCCAGUCGUCAAUGACGUUUCAUUUUCGAAAUGUGUAAUUGAAAACCAAAUACAACUUUAGACAAUGGAUCUCUUGGCUCACGCAUCGAUGAAGAACGUAGCGAAUUGCGAUAAUUAUUGUGAAUUGCAGAUUUAGUGAAUCAUCGAGUCUUUGAACGCAUAUUGCACCCUCUGGUAUUCCGGAGGGCAUGCUUGUUUGAGAACCGUUACAUCUCUCACAAACUGGACCUGAUUUCGGUCAGGAAAGGCAAGUGGAUCUGGCCGUUCCCUGCAAUCUUUUUAUUUAAGAUAAAUGGGAUGUGCUGAAAUUCAGUGAUCGGAGCUUGCGUGCUUAAAGGGUUUUCUCUCUAACAGUACCGUACUCUUUGAUAACCGACGUAGAUUAAUUGGGUACUUGUUUACCUUUUCUCAGCGUCCGGAAAAUCGAGUCGUGAAACUUGAAAGAAUUCAUCCCCAAACCUUUUCGCUAUGCCUAUAAGGUAACCGCGAGUAUACGGCUCAUACCUGAACAUGCCAGGCGAUCUAUAUACCGAAACUGUCCCCGUACUUGCUUGCGAGUGGUUGGAUGUUUCGAUGCAAUAGGUUGUACACCUGAUACUUUGGUCUCAAAUCAAGCAAGACGACCCGCUGAACUUAAGCAUAUCAAUAAGCGGAGGAAAAGAAAGCAACAGGGAUUCCCUUAGUAACGGCGAGUGAAGCGGGAAAAGCUCAAAUUUAAAAUCUCCUAGGUUCCCUAGGCGAAUUGUAGUUUCAAGAAGCGUUUUCUGAGGUGGCCUCGGUCCAAGUCUGCUGGAAGGCAGCGCCAUAGAGGGUGAUAGCCCCGUAGGAUCCUGAACCAUUUCUUUAUGAUUGCGUCUUCAAAGAGUCGUACAGUUUGAGAAUGCUGUGCUAAAUGGGAGGUAAAUAUCUUCUAAAGCUAAAUAUUGGCGUGAGACCGAUAGCGAACAAGUACCGUGAGGGAAAGAUGAAAAGAACUUUGAAAAGAGAGUUAAAUAGUACGUGAAAUUGUCUAAAGUGAAACGUUUGAAACUAGUAUCGGGAGAUUACGGACAACCGCAAGGUGCAUUCGUAGUUUCCUGUGCCAGCGACAGUUUUGUUUGCAGUAAAUGCUCCUGGGAAUGUAGCUUCGGUGUUAUAGCUCAGGGUGAGUGCUGUGGAUGGGACUGAUGAUCGCCACUGCCUUGGGGAAGCAGCUGCCUCGAAGCGAGCGAUGCUAGACAACUUGUUGACUAGUGUCGUCUUUCGUUAGGGAUCGGUUGUGUACCACUUUCAGUGUAGGUUGCUGGUGAAAUAGUUUUAAGCGACCCGUCUUGAAACACGGACC
RNAcentral lists this ribosomal RNA (1465 nucleotides) under uncultured fungus. RNAcentral describes it as "eukaryotic LSU rRNA". The stretch from base 742 to 1465 matches the Rfam family "Eukaryotic large subunit ribosomal RNA", at positions 1 to 667 of the family's 3401-position model. The record is from RNAcentral. Lineage: Eukaryota; Fungi.